AAAAUACCCAAUUUUUUUCGUACGAUCUCCGAAGUUAAGCAACGCCGAGACUGGUCUGUACCUAGAUGAGUGACCGCUUGGGAAUACCAAGUGAUGUA
Molecule: non-coding RNA, 98 nt
Organism: Acanthosepion pharaonis
Lineage: Eukaryota; Metazoa; Mollusca; Cephalopoda; Sepiida; Sepiidae
Source: the annotation of a GenBank genome assembly